UGAGGAGGAAACCAGACUCACUUUAACAGAUUCUUUUUUCUCGUUUGAACUUGAGGUUCAUUUAAAGGUUUUGAGCCUGUUUAUUUCCCGGCUACAGCUUAGUUCACUUUAUUAAUUCAUGUAUGUUUAAACAGAGUACAUUUAUUUAUGUACUGCUGGUUUUAAAAACAUUAAUUCCCAAAGUUCCUCUCAUGGAUCACAGCUCGCUAUGACAGGCUUAUGAUUCUCAGCAUGUAUAUAAUAUAUUUAUGUUUGCCUGGUUCUGUUAACUUUAACUCUUCUUUAUGGUGAGCAUAAGGGAUGGUAAGGGAAAUGGAGAACACUGAAAUGGGCGUUACACCCUUUAGUCAACCAGGAAAAGCGACUGGAGAAACUUCUGAAGUGUUUCAGACAUGAGGGGUCACUGUACAGUCAGAGUAUCAUCACAUGCUGUGGCCUCUGCAAUCACCAGAUCAGGGUUUAAAAAAAAAAGGUUGUUGUGAGGCUCCUUCCUCGACUCUUUGGCUCAACAGCAUUUACAAUUUUUAACCCUACCCCUCGUUUUCAAGUGUAAAAUGUCCUCUUUAAGACUUCCAUAUGUCGUCAGCAGACAUCAGCUGUAUUUAUGUCAACAGUUCCAAAACGCCCUUCAGCUGUGGAGAUUUCUUUCGUAUUUUACUGACAGUCCUGGUUUUAUAACAACUCACAGCAUCAGUCGAGUCAUCAACAGAGAAAAGGGACACAGCGUCUUUACCUGGCUGCUAACCAGCGCUCCCAUCCUGCCAGUCUGUACUGACAUUAGAGGAGCAGCAGCUUCACUGGUGGACUUCAGGUGUCAAUCACAGAAGGGAAACUCUACAUUAAUAGGAGCCGUCUCGCACAAAUCAGCAGGACAGACAUCAGUGGGCUACAGAGGAUGUUUUAUUCUUGUUAUAAAGAAAAGACCACAAUGCAGUGAAACAACAGCUUUCAUAAUCAGGCCUCCAGACACCAGUGUGGAACAACUGGACCUUCAUGCUGGACUUUCCUCUUUGUGUAUUAACUCUACACUGUCACAUGCUUUUAAUAGUGUUAUAUCCUGACUGUUUAUCUCAUUUCUUUUGAGACAUUCAUGAUGAUGAUGGACUAAACUAACUAAACUAAAUCAUAUUAGAACAGUUUCUUUGGAAAGUUUUCUCUCUACAUGCGUUCAGAGUUUAUCAGCCUGGCAACGACAAACCUCUCACAGAUCCUGCCCACUGUCACUUGAGAUAGAUGGUGUCAUGGUGGAAAGAUGCGCCAAACUUAGCUGAUUUUCAUGUUUGCCAUGUGUUGCUGUGUGUUCUCGGGGCUCUCCGCUGCAGCGCACCCUCUCUACGAGAUCCCCGCUCUGUUUCUGUCUGCUGUAAGCUGCAUGUCUAACAGCGUGAAGAUGUUUGGCUGAAGAGCAUCCUUUCUUCAGCCGGUAUACAGUACAACACGUGUCAGAACACACACACAUGCACACACACAUGCACACACACACGCACACACACACACACACACACACACACACACACACACACACACACACCCUGCCUUUGUACAAGAAGUGAUAAAAGCCCAAACCAACACGUGCAGAUGUACCGACAUGACAUGCUUGUUAGCGUGUUAGCUUGUUAGUAGAUACAUAUACUGUAUCUUCACACACAGCAGGCAGACGCAUCCACACACACACACACACACACACACACACACACACACACACACACACACACACACCGUCACGUGAAUCUGCAUGUGAGUUCAGAGACACAAGGGAAGAGAAAUGCAAAUGCUCCUCUCUUCAAGUCAGUGACAUGGCAUCCACGGGGAGAUGAAUGUGUGUGUGUGUGUGUGUGUGAGAGGACGAGGCAGAUAGCGGAAGGCAGCGAUUUGGAGAGCGAGAUGGCGCUGAUUCACUGUGUCUCCCUCUGCCUCGCGCACAUCGCUGUGAAAGAACAUGCUUGUCAGGCAGCGAAAAUAGAUGACACAGUCUCGGGAGGAUGUGGCGACGCCAACAAGCUCUCUGUUUACUUAUGUUUCUCAUUUCUCUUUUUCCAAGCGUAACGUGCCUGCACGCCUCUGCCGUCCUCCAAGAAGAAUGCCAGCUAUGCCGCAUAUUUCCUUUAUUCUCAAUUCCCCCCUUCUCUCCCUCCUCGUCUCGUCGAGUCCCAUGCUGCUUUUCUUGCAUAGUCAGGUUGCAAGUCGUGUGAGAGCAGGAUUUGUGGGAGCACAUGCGCGCUGGCGAGACACCGUGACUGACCUGAUUGUGAGACGAAGAGAGAGGGAGAAAGAGACGAAGGCUGACACCAUACGGGAACACUGUCUCUGCUGCAGUUGGUUUCCCAGAUUGUUUUGUUCUAAAUACAUUCAUAAGACACAUUAUUCAUAUGUUGUGGCUUACUGGAGGUGGUUUGACAUUGUGAGAAGGAGGAUGUUGAAUUAUCAAGAUGUCUGGAAUAAUAUCCUGAGCCUUGAUGUAAAAAUAGAGAAGCUGCAGCAGUCCAGAGGCCAGAGGCAUAAAACUCACCGCUCCAGAGAAGAAGUGCAGUUUCAUCAGUCGUGUUGCGUCACUGAGGCUCUCCAACAGCAGCAGAACAACUGCGGUUAACUCCAACCAUCAAGUACAGCAAAUCACUAAUUCAUGGAGAUCUAGUUUAUUCUACUAAAACUAGGCUUUUAGGCUCCACAUCACAUUGAACCCAUCCAAAAUAUCAACCAGCUAAAAAAGAUCUUUAAGAUUUUUUCAUAAAACGUCCAUCACAACCCGAGAAAUGAGCAACAAUGUCAGUAAAUGGAAAAAGCCGAGAUAACAUUCUUCCAUCGGAUCUGCACCAAAAGUUAAAACUGCUGUAAGCUAUAUCUUGUUUUUAAAUCAAAAUAAGACUACAGACUAUACGAGACUGUACCGACUUUAGCGAUGAAAUAUGCAGUGAAAAAAUGCAGAUGAAAAAUGAAGUUGCACUGAAGAAAAGAAACAUCUUGCAUGUGUGUUGACACAGAGAGGAGAGAGAGAGGACGCUAGCUAAAAUAACAAGAAGAACUGCGGCAGCUUUAACCAAAAUGUAAAUUGUCAGAUCAUAGGUUUCUCUAUCUGGAGCUGCACCGAAAGUUAAUGGGGUCUAUUUUGGGCUGAGACCCGUCCUCCAUCCCUGUUGGGUGGAAAUCUAAAAAUCCAAAUUCCAAGUCAACAAAGACGGGCAGUGAAACGAAAGAGUCAGAACUGCAGAACAGAAAGAAAAGAGAAAAGAACUGAAGAAACCAGAGAGACACGAGGAGACAGAUGAGACGUGGACGAACCAGCAAAGACUGAGGAGAACACAGGUGGUGAUGAACUGAUGGAGCACAGGUGAGGAGCAGUAAGGGCGGGAAAACAGACAAAGGAAGGAAGUAGAGAGUGAAACAUGACAGGUGAGGAUAUAAUUACCAAAAUAAAACAGGAAAUAACAAAAAAUCCAAACUGUGACAAAUGAUCUUCAGAAUGACUCAAAUAUGAAAACAAACAUUAAUUAGAUUCAUCACUUAUGAAUAUAUAUGUUUAAAUUAAGACGAUGAGGGAUAUAAAUCGUUAAGUCUUCUUGAGUUGCUCGAACAUGAAGCUGGUGCGUUUUAAUUCACCUGCAUCAGUUGAACCCAACGAGUAACUUUAAUUGUGUUCAUUCUUCACAAUAACUCUGCAGCUCGUUCUGCCGCUGCUCCUCAUCACUCCGCUCUUUAUCUCUGUGCAGUCUACCAUUCAUAAUUUACUUCUAAUAAUUCCAGUUGCUCCCACUACUCCAUCUGUCCUUGAGCUACAGCCUCUGUCUUUUCUUAUUGCAGGUCCACUCCUGGAUAUUUUUUGUACUGAGCCUGUAGCAACAAUCAGAUGAAGGUGGUGGUGACUCAGGCCAAAAUCAUCAGAGAUAUACAAUAUUCUCACGAGGGAUGCAGCGAUCCAACCUCCUCUCUGCUGAUCCCAAUACCUCGACUCAGAGCUUCCACAGAUCCCACGUGUCCUGACAAAUAACACGUCUCCAGCUGCUUCAGUUGUUCAGGAGAAAGCUGCGGUUUAUGAG
This is a long non-coding RNA of Acanthopagrus latus (yellowfin seabream), 4034 nucleotides long. RefSeq lists it as uncharacterized. NCBI's taxonomy places the organism in Eukaryota, Metazoa, Chordata, Actinopteri, Spariformes, Sparidae. The transcript has 3 exons. The record is from RefSeq and is a predicted model, not a curated record.